This 407-nucleotide ribosomal RNA is filed under the name uncultured bacterium. RNAcentral describes it as "partial 16S ribosomal RNA". It matches the Rfam family "Bacterial small subunit ribosomal RNA", at positions 28 to 526 of the family's 1533-position model. The record is from RNAcentral.
GACGAACGCUGGCGGCGUGCCUAAUACAUGCAAGUAGAACGCAGUUGCGAACGGGUGAGUAACGCGUAGGUCACUUCCUGGUAGCGGGGGAUAACUAUUGGAAACGAUAGCUAAUACCGCAUACUACCAGAUGGACCUGCGUUGUAUUAGCUAGUUGGUGAGGUAACGGCUCACCAAGGCAACGAUACAUAGCCGACCUGAGAGGGUGAUCGGACACAAUGGAAAUGAGACACGUAACAGACUCCUACGGGAGGCAGCAGUAGGGAAUCGUCGGCAAUGGGGGGAACCCUGACCGAGCAGCGCCGCGUGAGUGAAGAAGGUUUUCGGAUCGUAAAGCUCUGUUGUUAAGGAAGCGGUACGUAACCAGAAAGGGACGGCUAACUACGUGCCAGCAGCCGCGGUAAUUC